CCUACGGGGGGCAGCAGUGGGGAAUAUUGGACAAUGGGGGCAACCCUGAUCCAGCCAUGCCGCGUGUGUGAAGAAGGCCCUCGGGUUGUAAAGCACUUUCAGUGAGGAAGAACGCCUGGUGGUUAAUACCCAUCAGGAAAGACAUCACUCACAGAAGAAGCACCGGCUAACUCCGUGCCAGCAGCCGCGGUAAUACGGAGGGUGCGAGCGUUAAUCGGAAUUACUGGGCGUAAAGCGCGCGUAGGUGGCUUGAUAAGCCGGUUGUGAAAGCCCCGGGCUCAACCUGGGAACGGCAUCCGGAACUGUCAAGCUAGAGUGAAGGAGAGGAAGGUAGACUUCCCGGUGUAGCGGUGAAAUGCGUAGAGAUCGGGAGGAAUACCAGUGGCGAAGGCGGCCUUCUGGACUGACACUGACACUGAGGUGCGAAAGCGUGGGUAGCAAACAGGAUUAGAUACCCGGGUAGUC
This 465-nucleotide ribosomal RNA is filed under the name Vreelandella stevensii. RNAcentral describes it as "partial 16S ribosomal RNA". It matches the Rfam family "Bacterial small subunit ribosomal RNA", at positions 338 to 795 of the family's 1533-position model. Lineage: Bacteria; Pseudomonadati; Pseudomonadota; Gammaproteobacteria; Oceanospirillales; Halomonadaceae. The record is from RNAcentral.